CUCCUUGGACGUGGGGUUGGUCCUCCCGGCCGCCACCCCUGGCCUCAGGAGUAGGUUGCUCCUCCAGGCCGCCGCCCUGGCCUCGGGCGUGGGGGCGUGGGGUAGCUCCUCCUGGCCGCCGCCCCUGACCUCGGACGCUGGGUAUCUCCUCUCGGCCGCCCCGCCUGACCUCCGACGCGGGGUAGCUCCUCUCGGCCGUUCCUGCGCCGUCACAGUCUGGUACUCUUCGCUGCUGCCCCUGACCUCGGACGUGGGGUAACUCCUCUUGGCCGCCGCCCUUCGGGCAUGGGGUCCUCCCAGCUUCCAUCCCUGACCUCGGACGUGGGGUGGCUCCUCUCGGCUGCGCUUAGCGCGCCGGUCGCAGCCGCCUGCGCUUAGCGGUAUUUUGUUACAGCAGCUCAAAUAAAUGAAGACACAAGGGAAAAUCAGCAUGACAUCUCAGCUCAAUCAAAAUACCGAAAUUUCCAAGAAGUCUUCUCAGGUGGCCAAAUUGGGAAUCACCUUUAACAACAGCCUGCAGUGGCAGAGCUCACAUGUGAGGCAGCUAACUGUCCUGCUACCAGAAGACGAUGAUUCUACAUGUGAGCUCAUCAGCUUAUUGCAAGAUAUCCACAUCAUCGUCUCUGACAUCACCAUCGUCCUCGUGGUCACCAUCAACAUCAUGGAAAACCAGCGUAGGGUACUUCAAAACCACAUGCUUUGGAACUACACAGAUCUGAUUUCGAAUUCUUCCCUCUCCAGUGUGUUACCGUGGGUGCUUCACUAGCAUGUUUGUAUGUCAGUUUCUGCACUGAUUUAAGUGAAAGUGAUUAUGAUACCCACAUAGGCGUCUUCAGGAGAAGCUAGGGUAAAGUAUUGUUGGGGUGCAGCCUGUAAGCCCUAGUAGUUGCCCAGCCUUAAGGCAAAGAAAGGGUCUAGAGACAGAGACAUCCAUGGCUUAUUGGAUGAGACCUUACAUAUAUGAAGCAGGUUCCUGGAGCAACACCCUAUCAAGUGCAGCAGACGGCAGGCAGGACAUGGCAGCAAUCUUUGUCACUUCGGGGAGGAGGCUACCAUUUAUAGGGGGAAUUGAUAUCAGGUUGGCUCAUCAAUUACCACGGAAAUCAGAGGGUGGGGCAGGGGUCAAGCACAUAGGCAGUUACUAAUGAAGCCCCAUAAUUAUGAGGAUUGAAGCAGGGAUUGAUCAAGCAGGGGAUGUACAGAGAGCAAGAGACAAACCAUCUUGAAUGGACUGACCGUACAAGUUUGGAAAGUAUCUGAUGUUGAGACUCAAAAAAUAUUACUCCCUUGGGACUUCCCUGGUGGUCCAGUGGCUAAGACUCCAUGCUUCUAGUGCAGGGGGCCCAGGGUUCCAUUCCUGGUCAGCGAACUAGAUCCCACAGGCCGCAACCAAGAAUUCAUAUGCCGCAACUACAGAUGCUGCCUGCUGCAAUGAAGAUUGAAGAUCCAUUGUGCUACAACUAAGACUUGGAGCAGCUAAAUAAAUAUUAAAACAAAAUAUUCUUCUGUCUCUAA
This 1515-nucleotide long non-coding RNA is filed under the name Bos indicus x Bos taurus (hybrid cattle). Its description in RNAcentral is "lncRNA (ENSBIXG00005011250.1)". Lineage: Eukaryota; Metazoa; Chordata; Mammalia; Artiodactyla; Bovidae. The record is from RNAcentral.